GUGCUUGCUUCGGCAGCACAUAUACUAAAAUUGGAAUGAUACAGAGAAGAUUAGCAUAGCCCCUGCGCAAGGAUGAGAUGCAAAUUUGUGAAGCGUUCUAUAUUUAA
This 107-nucleotide small nuclear RNA is filed under the name Tupaia belangeri (northern tree shrew). Lineage: Eukaryota; Metazoa; Chordata; Mammalia; Scandentia; Tupaiidae. The record is from RNAcentral.